GGGGGUGGGGGGGUCCUAUCAUGCAAGUCGAGCGGACAGAUGGGAGCUUGCUCCCUGAUGUUAGCGGCGGACGGGUGAGUAACACGUGGGUAACCUGCCUGUAAGACUGGGAUAACUCCGGGAAACCGGGGCUAAUACCGGAUGGUUGUUUGAACCGCAUGGUUCAAACAUAAAAGGUGGCUUCGGCUACCACUUACAGAUGGACCCGCGGCGCAUUAGCUAGUUGGUGAGGUAACGGCUCACCAAGGCAACGAUGCGUAGCCGACCUGAGAGGGUGAUCGGCCACACUGGGACUGAGACACGGCCCAGACUCCUACGGGAGGCAGCAGUAGGGAAUCUUCCGCAAUGGACGAAAGUCUGACGGAGCAACGCCGCGUGAGUGAUGAAGGUUUUCGGAUCGUAAAGCUCUGUUGUUAGGGAAGAACAAGUACCGUUCGAAUAGGGCGGUACCUUGACGGUACCUAACCAGAAAGCCACGGCUAACUACGUGCCAGCAGCCGCGGUAAUACGUAGGUGGCAAGCGUUGUCCGGAAUUAUUGGGCGUAAAGGGCUCGCAGGCGGUUUCUUAAGUCUGAUGUGAAAGCCCCCGGCUCAACCGGGGAGGGUCAUUGGAAACUGGGGAACUUGAGUGCAGAAGAGGAGAGUGGAAUUCCACGUGUAGCGGUGAAAUGCGUAGAGAUGUGGAGGAACACCAGUGGCGAAGGCGACUCUCUGGUCUGUAACUGACGCUGAGGAGCGAAAGCGUGGGGAGCGAACAGGAUUAGAUACCCUGGUAGUCCACGCCGUAAACGAUGAGUGCUAAGUGUUAGGG
This 811-nucleotide ribosomal RNA is filed under the name Bacillus sp. enrichment culture clone SRC_MC6A. RNAcentral describes it as "bacterial SSU rRNA". It matches the Rfam family "Bacterial small subunit ribosomal RNA", at positions 35 to 828 of the family's 1533-position model. The record is from RNAcentral. Lineage: Bacteria; Bacillati; Bacillota; Bacilli; Caryophanales; Bacillaceae.